Molecule: small nucleolar RNA, 93 nt
Filed under: Nelumbo nucifera (sacred lotus)
Lineage: Eukaryota; Viridiplantae; Streptophyta; Magnoliopsida; Proteales; Nelumbonaceae
Description: Small nucleolar RNA snR60/Z15/Z230/Z193/J17
Rfam family: Small nucleolar RNA snR60/Z15/Z230/Z193/J17
About the family: The members of this family belong to the C/D class of snoRNAs which contain the C (UGAUGA) and D (CUGA) box motifs. Most of the members of the box C/D family function in directing site-specific 2'-O-methylation of substrate RNAs.
Source: Rfam by way of RNAcentral
GAGAGUCGCGUGAUGAUGAGAUAGUGCAUAGUUCAGAUGAUAAACCCCUGAUUAUGUUAUUAGCAAGUCUUUCGCUCCUAUCUGAUGACUCUC